RNAcentral lists this ribosomal RNA (424 nucleotides) under uncultured bacterium. RNAcentral describes it as "partial 16S ribosomal RNA". It matches the Rfam family "Bacterial small subunit ribosomal RNA", at positions 360 to 776 of the family's 1533-position model. The record is from RNAcentral.
AAUUUUGGACAAUGGGGGCAACCCUGAUCCAGCCAUCCCGCGUGUAUGAUGAGGGCCUUCGGGUUGUAUAGUACUCUUUUCAGCGAAGAAAAGGUCUCUCCUAAUACGAGAUACUGCUGACCGUAUCUGCAGAAUAAGCACCGGCUAACUACGUGCCAGCAGCCGCGGUAAUACGUAGGGUGCAAGCGUUAAUCGGAAUUACUGGGCGUAAAGGGCGUGUAGGCGGUUCUGAAAGAAAGAUGUGAAAUCCCAGGGCUCAACCUAGGAACUGCAUUUUUAACUGCCGAGCUAGAGUAUGGCAGAGGGGGGUAGAAUUCCACGUGUAGCAGUGAAAUGCGUAGAUAUGUGGAGGAAUACCGAUGGCGAAGGCAGCCCACUGGGAUAAUACUGACGCUCAGACACGAAAGCGUGGGGAGCAAACAGG